AUACGUAGGGGGCGAGCGUUGUCCGAAAUGAUUGGGCGUAAAGGGCGCGUAGGCGGCCCGGUAAGUCUGGAGUGAAAGUCCUGCUUUUAAGGUGGGAAUUGCUUUGGAUACUGUCGGGCUUGAGUGCAGGAGAGGUAAGUGGAAUUCCCAGUGUAGCGGUGAAAUGCGUAGAGAUUGGGAGGAACACCAGUGGCGAAGGCGACUUACUGGACUGUAACUGACGCUGAGGCGCGAAAGUGUGGGGAGCAAACAGGAUUAGAUACCCUGGUAGUCCACACUGUAAACGAUGAAUGCUAGGUGUAGGGGGUAUCGACCCCUUCUGUGCCGCAGUUAACACAAUAAGCAUUCCGCCUGGGGAGUACGGCCGCAAGGUUGAAACUUAAAGGAAUUGACGGGG
Molecule: ribosomal RNA, 397 nt
Filed under: uncultured bacterium
Lineage: Bacteria
Description: partial 16S ribosomal RNA
Rfam family: Bacterial small subunit ribosomal RNA
Source: RNAcentral